CACACAGGAGAAAUGGGACCCCAAAGA
Molecule: non-coding RNA, 27 nt
Filed under: Rattus norvegicus (Norway rat)
Lineage: Eukaryota; Metazoa; Chordata; Mammalia; Rodentia; Muridae
Source: RNAcentral